Long non-coding RNA from Drosophila miranda, 1211 nucleotides. RefSeq lists it as uncharacterized. Lineage: Eukaryota; Metazoa; Arthropoda; Insecta; Diptera; Drosophilidae. The transcript is spliced from 3 exons. The record is from RefSeq and is a predicted model, not a curated record.
AGUCGAGUCGAGUGGAGUGGAAGUGGAAGUGGAAGUGGAGGUUGCAUGUGGAACGUGUUGUGUUGUCGGUUGGUGCCCAGACACUGCCUGAAGUUGCUGCUGACCGUCCUGAAGAGGCGCCGCCGACAACAGAGAUACCCAUGUGCCCAUAUACCCAUUCCCCCCGGAGCCAGCCCAGAGCCCCAGUCGCCCAGUCGCCCAGACCCUGUCCAGAGGGCCACACACAUCGAUUGGUGGAUGAUGACCGUUCUUUGUGGGCCCCAGAGGUGGGGGUAAAGUGCAUUUGAAAGCGCUGUCUGGUGACAGAAGCAGCAGCAACGGGCAGGGGUGCAGGAGGAGGAGCAGGAGAAGAGAGAGAGAGACAGGGAGAAUUUGCAGAGAUAAGAGAAGCCUGAGAGACAUGGGAUCAUCAGAGAGAGGUGGAGAGACAUAAAAGGGGAUCCUGGGAGACCCAGAGGCACGUAUGGAAACCCCUUUUGGAUACCCUUUCAUAAGGUAUAAGACCAUUUCUUUAAGGAGCAGGCGAUUCAGCGAAGAAAGGGAGAAGUUUCAGCGAUAAGAGAGGCCGGAGAGACAUGGGAUCAUCAGAGAGAUGUGGAGAGACCCAGAGACACGAGCAGGCGAUUCAGCGAAGAGAGGCAGAAGUUGCAGAGAUAAGAGAGGCCUGAGAGACAUGGGAUCAUCAGAGAGAGGUGGAGAGACCCAGAGACACGUAUGGAUACCCCUUUUGGAUACCCUUUCAUAAGGUAUAAGACCUUUUCUUUAAGGAGCAGGCGAUUCAGCGAAGAGAGGCAGAAGUUGCAGAGAUAAGAGAGGCCUGAGAGACAUGGGAUCAUCAGAGAGAGGUGGAGAGACCCAGAGACACGUAUGGAUACCCCUUUUGGAUACCCUUUCAUAAGGUAUAAGACCUUUUCUUUAAGGAGCAGGCGAUUCAGCGAAGAGAGGCAGAAGUUGCAGAGAUAAGAGAGGCCUGAGAGACAUGGGAUCAUCAGAGAGAGGUGGAGAGACCCAGAGACACGUAUGGAUACCCCUUUUGGAUACCCUUUCAUAAGGAAUAAGACCUUUUCUUGGCAGUGAAGAUAAGGCCUUUCGAAGGUGCACUUGUCUUUCCAGCAAAGAAUCAUCUUUCUAUCUUCCCUUAGAAAGAGUAUCUAAAUCCUCGUUUCCCUGCGUUCUUUUUUAUAUCUGCCAUAAAAUGUUGAAUAAAUAUU